CUGAUGUGGGGCUCGAUCCCAGGCCCCUGGGAUCAUGACCCGAGCCGAAGGCAGCGGCUUUAACCCACUGAGCCACCCAGGCGCCCCUAGGGAUUUUUUGAUACACAUGUACUGUUACUCUGGUUCAGAAGUUGGUGGUGGAAGGAGGAUGCUACUGUAAAAAUAAAUCCAAAGUACAUGACAUUCAUUGGUCCAGCAGUCAAUCAAGAUGAGAACAAAUAUCUGCUAUUAGAAAAUGAGAUUUGUGUAAUACAACAAUGAAACAGUUUUUAAAAGUUCAUUUGUAAUUACUUGGAAUGUGAAUCCGUGCCCUGUGGUUCCAAGGAAAGGCUAGAAAAUGUAAUGUUGGUAGUGAGUGUUGACUUUUACUACCUGUGUUUAUCAAGUUGAUAGAAGAAAAGAGAUGGUAUGUGACAAGAAUUUGUUACCUUGCAAGUUUAAAAAAAAAAAAAAAGGAAAAAAGGUGAGAAAAUCAUUGCUUCUAGUUCCAAAUGAUAAGAGAUUGUGCACAGAGGUCCGUUAAGUCUUUUGGCUUCAGUACAGAUCUGAAUAGAAUUGUGGUAUUUCCUCCUAAACAUGAUAGCUUUAAGACAGGAGACAACGUUUGGAAAAAGGCAACCUUGAGAAUUAUAUUUAGGAAAGAACUUUGGGAGUUGCUACUAGCAUAUGUAGCUGAAUAGAUACCUCUCUCUCUCUCUCAAAAACAGAGUUUACUUAUUUAUAAUGCCAAAAAAAAAAAAAAAAAAAAGGCAGGCCUCUUCUUUAACAGCUUUUGGAUGUUCUGUCAUUAGAAGUAUUUGUGGGCUCCCAAACUUGCUCAGGGAGGAAAUGGGUUGCAAAACUUUGGAGGUUUCUGAGGAGGGUCAGUCCCCAUCAUUUAUUUCAAAUGUGCUUAUAGACAAAAAACCUGCUAAAGAGUAGAGUAGAGCUAUGAAGAACGUUGAAUAAGUAGUUCGUUCCAGAUAGCAAAAUUGAAAUCAAGGAUAUAUUCUUACUGCCAGGUUGAAAGGACCUCAAAAUUCCUGCCAGUUUUAUCAUAACUGCAAUAGACCAGUGCCUUCUGCAUUCCUCUGAUGUACCUUUUCCCAGAUGCAGUUUUUAAAACAAAUUUAUCCUUACUUGACUGUCAGAUGUUGGGCCAGGUGGCAGGAGGAAGAUUUCUGUAACUGGUGUUGUUUGUGCAAAUACCACUGAAUAUCAAGGAGCUGUAUCCAUAUAUGAACCAUGUCAUCAUUCAGAGAUCUUGAACUUGAAGCUGGUUGCAAUAACUGGAUGGAAUUUGGGGUUGUCUCACUUGGGGAAUGAGGAAGCAUGCUUUACUUGCGGUAGGAUACUCGGUAACCAGAAAGAUAUAACUCUAUUAGAGACACUAACCAAGUGCUCACUUCAUCUAUUUCUUCUUUCUCUCAGGUACCUGGCUAACUUACAUUUCCCAGCUUCUUGCAAUUAGGCAAAUGCUGACUAAUGCUACCUACAUUAGGAUGUUGGCAACCUGGACUCCCUUGCAAAAUAGCUUUUGAAGACGAAGUUUCUGCUAGCCAGGGCCCUUGCAUGAUUGCAUGGAGCAGAUCCCCUCAAUCCGAUCCUGCCACCUGUUGGGCUUUCCAUGAGCAACAAUUUCCCAGGUCUCUCUGCUCAGAUGUCAUCCUGUCAGGGAGAGCUUCUUUGAACUUCCUUCAAAAAUAUCAACUGGUUAUUCCUCCCUCCUUGCUUGAUUUUUCUUCUUUGACAUUCAGCACCUGACAUACAUGUAUUUAUUUAUAUAGCUGUCAGCCUUCCCAUCUAGAAUAUAAGCUUUGUGAGUGCAAAGACUCUUUCCUUCUCUGCCAUGUCCCAAACUUGUAUAUAGUAGGUGCUCAGGCAAAUAUUUGCCUUUUGAAUACAUAUGCUGUAAAUAUUUGGAUAAAUGUUAGUUUGAAUAAAUAGUCAUGGAUAUAUACAGGUUUCCUUGGUUUAUUAAUGACUUCUAUAAUUGAGUAGCUGCAGCUCCCAGUUAGGAAUCUAUCAGAGUAAUCCGAGUAAGAGAGAGGACAGCUUGGACUUGGGCAGUAACAGGGGAGAAUACGAAUGGGAGAGAAGAUAAUGUCUGAUUAUAGAGGAGAAGCUAUGAAUUAAUUAUCUACCAAAAGCAUGAGAAUAAUUGAAGGAAGAAACUGACAUGAGUCCUGAGCAGCAUUAGGAGCCCACUGCCACUAAUUUAAAGUGAGAGCAGUCAGCACAGUUUUAAUUUUCUUUUCUGGGACCUGUUUUUUGGUCAUAUUUAUUUGGGACUCUUAGUAUUUUUGUUACUAAUUUGUAGGGGCUCUUCAUAUGUUAGAGCAAAAAGCCCUUUGCCUAUCAUGAUUUGCAAAAAUUUUCAUUUUAUCAUUUGUCUUUUGACUUUGUUUAAUUUUUUCUAAACAUAAUAUUUGAUUUUGUUCAUGUUAAAAAUGAUAUACUUUGCACCUUCUAACUAGUUAUGGUGCAUAUAUGUGAAGACUGUCACUUCUGUAUACCAUCAGUUUCUUCAGCCACAGGUUAUCAAACUCUCAUUGUUUUUAUUUUUUUAAAGAUUUUAUUUAUUUAUUUGACAGAGAAAGUGCGCACAUGGUAGCACAAG
Mustela erminea (ermine) is the source of this 2599-nucleotide long non-coding RNA. RefSeq lists it as uncharacterized. The transcript is spliced from 3 exons. Lineage: Eukaryota; Metazoa; Chordata; Mammalia; Carnivora; Mustelidae. The record is from RefSeq and is a predicted model, not a curated record.